CAGGGAGACAACAAAAAUGUUUAGAUAUAAUUUUGUCACCUUAGGUCGAUCGGGUAUCUCACGUUUUCAUUUUUGAGAAUUUCAGUUUCUAAGUUUUUUCUAGGUCACCCAUUUUUCCUGGGCCAUUAGCUCAGGUGGUUAGAGCGCACCCCUGAUAAGGGUGAGGUCCCUGGUUCAAGUCCAGGAUGGCCCAUAUCUCUAUGUUGGGGGUAUAGCUCAGUUGGUAGAGCGCCUGCUUUGCAAGCAGGAUGUCAGCGGUUCGAGUCCGCUUACCUCCACUGAAUACCACCUUUCAAAUGAGAAGGAAUAUUGGGGAUUAAUCCUACUCUGAAUGAAUUCAGCCUCCUGUUAUUUAAUAAUUAAUUAAUAAGAUGCUGAACUCAAUGAAUUUUUAAUUCUUUGUUUUCAGAGAACCUUGACAACUGCAUAGAUUUUUUUCAAGACAAUAAGCAUCUUAUAAAGAUGCAGAUUUAUUAUUGGUGCUUAACGCAUUAAUAACAAUUCUAUUGAGCUGAUGCUUCAAUUUUUGAAGUUAUU
This 537-nucleotide transfer RNA is filed under the name uncultured Prochlorococcus sp. RNAcentral describes it as "partial 16S-23S ribosomal RNA intergenic spacer". The stretch from base 206 to 278 matches the Rfam family "tRNA". The record is from RNAcentral. Lineage: Bacteria; Bacillati; Cyanobacteriota; Cyanophyceae; Synechococcales; Prochlorococcaceae.